UUUUUUUAUGGAGAGUUUGAUCCUGGCUCAGGACGAACGCUGGCGGCGUGCUUAACACAUGCAAGUCGAACGGAAAGGCCUAGCUUGCUAGGUACUCGAGUGGCGAACGGGUGAGUAACACGUGGGUGAUCUGCCUCGUACUUCGGGAUAAGCCUGGGAAACUGGGUCUAAUACUGGAUAGGACCAUGCUUUAGUGUGUGUGGUGGAAAGUUUUUCGGUACGAGAUGAGCCCGCGGCCUAUCAGCUUGUUGGUGGGGUAAUGGCCUACCAAGGCGUCGACGGGUAGCCGGCCUGAGAGGGUGGACGGCCACAUUGGGACUGAGAUACGGCCCAGACUCCUACGGGAGGCAGCAGUGGGGAAUAUUGCACAAUGGGCGCAAGCCUGAUGCAGCGACGCCGCGUGGGGGAUGACGGCCUUCGGGUUGUAAACCUCUUUCGCUAGGGACGAAGCUUUUGUGACGGUACCUAGAUAAGAAGCACCGGCUAACUACGUGCCAGCAGCCGCGGUAAUACGUAGGGUGCGAGCGUUGUCCGGAAUUACUGGGCGUAAAGAGCUCGUAGGUGGUUUGUCGCGUCGUCUGUGAAAUUCCGGGGCUUAACUUCGGGCGUGCAGGCGAUACGGGCAUAACUUGAGUGCUGUAGGGGAGACUGGAAUUCCUGGUGUAGCGGUGGAAUGCGCAGAUAUCAGGAGGAACACCGAUGGCGAAGGCAGGUCUCUGGGCAGUAACUGACGCUGAGGAGCGAAAGCAUGGGGAGCGAACAGGAUUAGAUACCCUGGUAGUCCAUGCCGUAAACGGUGGGCGCUAGGUGUGAGGGUCUUCCACGACUUUCGUGCCGUAGCUAACGCAUUAAGCGCCCCGCCUGGGGAGUACGGCCGCAAGGCUAAAACUCAAAGGAAUUGACGGGGGCCCGCACAAGCGGCGGAGCAUGUGGAUUAAUUCGAUGCAACGCGAAGAACCUUACCUGGGCUUGACAUAUGCAGGAUCGGCGUAGUGAUACGUUUUCCCUUGUGGUCUGUAUACAGGUGGUGCAUGGUUGUCGUCAGCUCGUGUCGUGAGAUGUUGGGUUAAGUCCCGCAACGAGCGCAACCCUUGUCUUAUGUUGCCAGCACGUGAUGGUGGGGACUCAUGAGAGACUGCCGGGGUUAACUCGGAGGAAGGUGGGGAUGACGUCAAAUCAUCAUGCCCCUUAUGUCCAGGGCUUCACACAUGCUACAAUGGUCGGUACAACGCGCUGCGAGCCUGUGAGGGUGAGCGAAUCGCUGAAAGCCGGCCUCAGUUCGGAUUGGGGUCUGCAACUCGACCCCAUGAAGUCGGAGUCGCUAGUAAUCGCAGAUCAGCAACGCUGCGGUGAAUACGUUCCCGGGCCUUGUACACACCGCCCGUCACGUCAUGAAAGUUGGUAACACCCGAAGCCAGUGGCCUAACCCUUGUGGGGGGGAGCUGUCGAAGGUGGGAUCGGCGAUUGGGACGAAGUCGUAACAAGGUAGCCGUACCGGAAGGUGCGGCUGGAUCACCUCCUUUCUAAGGAG
RNAcentral lists this ribosomal RNA (1531 nucleotides) under Corynebacterium diphtheriae. Its description in RNAcentral is "bacterial SSU rRNA". It matches the Rfam family "Bacterial small subunit ribosomal RNA". Lineage: Bacteria; Bacillati; Actinomycetota; Actinomycetes; Mycobacteriales; Corynebacteriaceae. The record is from RNAcentral.